Molecule: ribosomal RNA, 559 nt
Filed under: uncultured bacterium
Lineage: Bacteria
Description: bacterial SSU rRNA
Rfam family: Bacterial small subunit ribosomal RNA
Source: RNAcentral
CGGAACGUGCCUAGUAGUGGGGGAUAACUACUCGAAAGAGUAGCUAAUACCGCAUGAGAUCUAAGGAUGAAAGCAGAGGACCUUCGGGCCUUGCGCUACUAGAGCGGCUGAUGGCAGAUUAGGUAGUUGGUGGGAUAAAAGCUUACCAAGCCGACGAUCUGUAGCUGGUCUGAGAGGACGACCAGCCACACUGGGACUGAGACACGGCCCAGACUCCUACGGGAGGCAGCAGUGGGGAAUUUUGGACAAUGGGCGAAAGCCUGAUCCAGCAAUGCCGCGUGUAGGAUGAAGGCCCUCGGGUUGUAAACUACUUUUGUACGGAACGAAAAGCUCUCUUCUAAUAAAGGAGAGUGAUGACGGUACCGUAAGAAUAAGCACCGGCUAACUACGUGCCAGCAGCCGCGGUAAUACGUAGGGUGCGAGCGUUAAUCGGAAUUACUGGGCGUAAAGCGUGCGCAGGCGGUUAUGUAAGACAGAGGUGAAAUCCCCGGGCUCAACCUGGGAACGGCCUUUGUGACUGCAUAGCUAGAGUACGGUAGAGGGGGAUGGAAUUCCGCGU